Molecule: small nuclear RNA, 55 nt
Filed under: Astyanax mexicanus (Mexican tetra)
Lineage: Eukaryota; Metazoa; Chordata; Actinopteri; Characiformes; Acestrorhamphidae
Description: U7 small nuclear RNA (ENSAMXG00005006204.1)
Rfam family: U7 small nuclear RNA
About the family: Animal histone pre-mRNAs are spliced by a different mechanism than nuclear pre-mRNAs and self-splicing introns.
Source: RNAcentral
AAAAUUUUGCUCUUUUAGUAUAUGUCUUGCAGGUCUUCAGCUGCUGAAGGCCCAC